This 1149-nucleotide long non-coding RNA is filed under the name Mustela putorius furo (domestic ferret). Its description in RNAcentral is "lncRNA (ENSMPUG00000031664.1)". Lineage: Eukaryota; Metazoa; Chordata; Mammalia; Carnivora; Mustelidae. The record is from RNAcentral.
AUGCUCAGAGAACAACAGCCUUUGGAUACUGCUUUCUAUACCAUGACCUGCGGAACUGACUCGAGCUCUGAUCUGCCUUGUGCUUUGGAUAUUUACUUCUUCUGUAACCAAAAGUACUCCAGGGACAACACCUCCAUUCAUGCACUCAGCAACUGCAUUAGGCCAUACCAGCCUGGCGCUUCGGUUGAGCCAGUCAACAUCACUGGUGUCAAGAGAGAGAUCACAAGCAGGCAGAGAGGCAGGCAGAGAGAGAGGAGGAAGCAGGCUCCCCGCUGAGCAGAGAGCCCGACGUGGGACUCGAUCCCAGCACCCUGAGAUCAUGACCUGAGCCGAAGGCAGCGGCUUAACCCACUGAGCCACCCAGGCGCCCUAAUUGAUAAAUAUUUUUAACGUUAAACUAUAUUCAACAACCCUGCUAACUUUAUUUACUAACUAAAUUGAUUUUCUAUAUAUUUAAAAAUUUUUAUAACCAUGUCAUAUGUGAAACAUGAUAAUUUUAUUGCUUUCUUUCCAAUGCUUAUACACUUAAUUUUUCUUAGAUUAUCGGAUAUAAUUUAUAGUACAGUGUUGAACAAGAGUAGCGGUAAUAAGCAACUUAGUUUCUGAUUACAGUUAGAAAAUAUUGUGAAGUGUGUAAACCUGGUGAUUCACAGACCUGUACCCCUGGGGAUAAAAAUAUAUGUUUAUAAAAAAUAAAAAAUAAUAAAAGAAAAUAUUGGAAAUAUCACAAUUAUAAAUAAUGUUUACUGUAGAAUUUUUAUUACACUUUAUUUUUUUCCAUUUUAUUUUCUUCUAUUUCUUUUCUGUGUUCCAGAAUUCAUUGUUUAUGUACCACACCUAGUUCCAUGCAAUAUUUGUUACCCUUUAUUAAUAAAGGAGUAUUCAGAUUAUUUCCUUUUAUGUCUACUUUAUAAUUUGUUAUUUUCUAGAAGGUUGUUCACUUCAUCUGUAUUUGUAAAUUAGCAAAAUUAUAUUUUUAUGAUCCAUUAGCAUGUAGGUUGCUGCAGUGGUAUUCUGGUAAAUGUUUAACAAGCAGAUCUCUGGGGGAAACAUGCAUUAUACAUGUACAUGAGUUUAUUAUAAACUUCAUUGAUAUACAGGGUCUGUAACAUAUGAUUUAAAAUAAUAAUAAACUACAUAAUACUCCUU